CCCAGACUCCUACGGGAGGCAGCAGUGGGGGAUAUUGCACAAUGGGGGAACCCUGAUGCAGCGACGCCGCGUGGGUGAAGGAGUAUUUCGGUAUGUAAAGCCCUAUCUGCAGGGAAGAAGGAGGACGGUACCUGACUAAGAAGCCCCGGCUAACUACGUGCCAGCAGCCGCGGUAAUACGUAGGGGGCAGGCGUUAUCCGGAUUUACUGGGUGUAAAGGGAGCGUAGGCGGUGCAGCAAGUCAGAAGUGAAAGCCCGGGGCUCAACUCCGGGACUGCUUUUGAAACUGCUGAACUAGAUUGCAGGAGAGGUAAGUGGAAUUCCUAGUGUAGCGGUGAAAUGCGUAGAUAUUAGGAGGAACACCAGUGGCGAAGGCGGCUUACUGGACUGUAAAUGACGCUGAGGCUCGAAAGCGUGGGGAGCAAACAGGAUUAGAUACCCUGGUAAG
RNAcentral lists this ribosomal RNA (447 nucleotides) under uncultured bacterium. RNAcentral's name for it is "partial 16S ribosomal RNA". It matches the Rfam family "Bacterial small subunit ribosomal RNA", at positions 330 to 793 of the family's 1533-position model. The record is from RNAcentral.